AAGUCGAGCGGUAACGAGCCUAGCUUGCUAGGAGGCGUCGAGCGGCGGACGGGUGAGUAAUGCAUAGGAAUCUACCCAGUCGUGGGGGAUAACCUGAGGAAACUCAGGCUAAUACCGCAUACGUCCUACGGGAGAAAGCGGGGGCUCUUCGGACCUCGCGCGAUUGGAUGAGCCUAUGUCGGAUUAGCUGGUUGGUGAGGUAACGGCUCACCAAGGCGACGAUCCGUAGCUGGUCUGAGAGGAUGAUCAGCCACACCGGGACUGAGACACGGCCCGGACUCCUACGGGAGGCAGCAGUGGGGAAUAUUGGACAAUGGGCGCAAGCCUGAUCCAGCCAUGCCGCGUGUGUGAAGAAGGCUUUCGGGUUGUAAAGCACUUUCAGCGAGGAAGAAAGCGUGCCGGCCAAUACCCGGUACGGACGACAUCACUCGCAGAAGAAGCACCGGCUAACUCCGUGCCAGCAGCCGCGGUAAUACGGAGGGUGCAAGCGUUAAUCGGAAUUACUGGGCGUAAAGCGCGCGUAGGCGGCGUGUCACGCCGGGUGUGAAAGCCCCGGGCUCAACCUGGGAACGGCAUCCGGAACGGGCAGGCUAGAGUGCAGGAGAGGAAGGUAGAAUUCCCGGUGUAGCGGUGAAAUGCGUAGAGAUCGGGAGGAAUACCAGUGGCGAAGGCGGCCUUCUGGACUGACACUGACGCUGAGGUGCGAAAGCGUGGGUAGCAACAGGAUUAGAUACCCUGGUAGUCCACGCCGUAAACGAUGUCGACUAGCCGUUGGGUCCCUUGAGGACUUAGUGGCGCAG
RNAcentral lists this ribosomal RNA (800 nucleotides) under Chromohalobacter sp. K32. RNAcentral describes it as "bacterial SSU rRNA". It matches the Rfam family "Bacterial small subunit ribosomal RNA", at positions 59 to 851 of the family's 1533-position model. The record is from RNAcentral. Lineage: Bacteria; Pseudomonadati; Pseudomonadota; Gammaproteobacteria; Oceanospirillales; Halomonadaceae.